AGUGCUUUGAGACAUUUCUUUUUACAUGAAUGGCAAUGUAUCAACUCAAGGUAUUUCGUCAAUCUGUGGAAGUGUGAAAGCAAAGAAAACAAAGCUGUUUCUUCAGAUCCCACGUGGAGUAAAUGAGAAAAAGGAAAACGGUUUCCAGGAAUGGUAGUCGAGGUCAGGACCCUGAACUCAUUGAAGAAACGGAUUGAUGGGAGGACGAUCAGUUCACUCCUCCAGCAUGGUUAAGAGAAUAGACGGACCAUCUCCUAGCCUCCCACGCA
Molecule: long non-coding RNA, 269 nt
Organism: Callorhinchus milii (elephant shark)
Lineage: Eukaryota; Metazoa; Chordata; Chondrichthyes; Chimaeriformes; Callorhinchidae
Exons: 3
Source: RefSeq, a predicted model, not a curated record